Molecule: ribosomal RNA, 430 nt
Filed under: uncultured bacterium
Lineage: Bacteria
Description: partial 16S ribosomal RNA
Rfam family: Bacterial small subunit ribosomal RNA
Source: RNAcentral
CCUACUGGAGGCAGCAGCUAGGAAUCUUGGGAAUGGGCGAAAGCCUGACCCAGCAACGCCGCGUGGGCGAUGAAGGCCUUCGGGUCGUAAAGCCCUUUUGUGGGGGACGCGGUACCCCACGAAUAAGCCACGGCUAACUACGUGCCAGCAGCCGCGGUAAUACGUAGGUGGCAAGCGUUGUCCGGAUUUACUGGGCGUAAAGGGCGUGCAGGCGGUUUUUUAAGUCUAGGGUGAAAGCUCCCGGCUCAACUGGGAGAGGUCCUUGGAUACUGGAGAACUUGAGGGAUGCAGAGGAAAGUGGAAUUCCCGGUGUAGUGGUGAUAUGCGUAGAUAUCGGGAGGAACACCAGUGGCGAAGGCGGCUUUCUGGCAUUCCUGACGCUGAGACGCGAAAGCGUGGGGAGCGAACCGGAUUAGAUACCCUUGUAGUC